Molecule: transfer RNA, 69 nt
Filed under: Bradypus pygmaeus (Pygmy three-toed sloth)
Lineage: Eukaryota; Metazoa; Chordata; Mammalia; Pilosa; Bradypodidae
Description: tRNA-Ser
Source: RNAcentral
AAGGAAGUCAUACUGGGUAUGAGGUUGGCUUGAAACCGAUUUAACGGGGUUCAAUUCCUCCCUUUCUUG